RNAcentral lists this ribosomal RNA (215 nucleotides) under Escherichia coli. RNAcentral describes it as "partial 16S ribosomal RNA". It matches the Rfam family "Bacterial small subunit ribosomal RNA", at positions 1 to 209 of the family's 1533-position model. RNAcentral also lists the same sequence under 1 other name. The record is from RNAcentral. Lineage: Bacteria; Pseudomonadati; Pseudomonadota; Gammaproteobacteria; Enterobacterales; Enterobacteriaceae.
UUAAAUUGAAGAGUUUGAUCAUGGCUCAGAUUGAACGCUGGCGGCAGGCCUAACACAUGCAAGUCGAACGGUAACAGGAAACAGCUUGCUGUUUCGCUGACGAGUGGCGGACGGGUGAGUAAUGUCUGGGAAACUGCCUGAUGGAGGGGGAUAACUACUGGAAACGGUAGCUAAUACCGCAUAACGUCGCAAGACCAAAGAGGGGGACCUUCGGG